This is a non-coding RNA of Osmia lignaria (orchard mason bee), 999 nucleotides long. The record is from RefSeq and is a predicted model, not a curated record. Lineage: Eukaryota; Metazoa; Arthropoda; Insecta; Hymenoptera; Megachilidae.
GUAAUUUUAUAGUUCCUGAAAAAGGAACUUGUAUGAUUUUUGACUAAUUACAAAUGACUAAUUACCUCCUUCUUUUCGAAGUCGGUUAAAAAUAAAAUAAAAAGAAAGUCACAAAAUAUGGAAUUUAGGAAGAACGAAGUUGUUUGAUAGCAUGCGAUAAUUGAGGUGGCGCUUAAAUCAGUUUCUGUUCGACCUAAUUUUCGAUGAAACGUUGACUGUUUUACCGACGCGGAAUUCGAAGUUCAGCCUCAACUCGAAAACAGUGUAGCUAGCGUCAUCUGACCGUGAAAUACUACCGAUAAGUAAGUUUUGAAGUUCAUCGAUUAACGUGGCUCUUCUUGUCAGUACAUCUUUAACUUAAGCAGUCCCGCCUCAAUUUGGUCUUCAUCUUCCGUAAGAAGAUCAUCAAUUCUGCACGAUGGAAGGCAAUCCGCGCCUCCGACAGCAACUACUUGCCUCGCAAUCUCUGGAUCUACGCACAGUCUUGUGAGCGCGGCCGCGGCAGUAAUUUCUAAACGUCUGUAAGCGUCUUCUAAGCCCGGGGGUCUCAUUCUGAGAAAGGAAACCAACGCGAUAGAGGCUCGAGCUUCCGCCAGGUGUGGUCGAGCCUCAGGGAUGCGCGCCAGUUCACUGAUAAGAGCUGCCACUUGUUCCAUCAACCAAACGUUUUUUCCAGUCGACUUUUUAACAGUUUUCAACAAUUUCUUUACAGUUCCGUGUUCCAAUAUCACGAAGGCGCACUUCCUGGACUUGGAGAGAUGAUUGAACGCAGCUGCGACCAGUAACAAUGUUUGCCCGCAAUUAGUACUCUCGACUAGACGAUUCAAGGAAGGAAUUAAGUCUUUUGCAAAAGGUUCCAAACAUUUUCUCUGCGAUUAGCAGAUCCGUCAGUAUCUCUGGACCUCCGUCUUUAACGAACUGGUGAAUCGCCGUGGCAGAAGAACACACGCUUGCCAAAGCCCGUAAAGAAGCUGUAACGAAGUCGAUCGACGUCCUUCC